This 767-nucleotide long non-coding RNA is filed under the name Marmota monax (woodchuck). Lineage: Eukaryota; Metazoa; Chordata; Mammalia; Rodentia; Sciuridae. The record is from RNAcentral.
GGCAAAUUCCUUUUUGCCUCAUGCACAACAAUUUAGCUGCCCUGUGACCUUGCUGUUCUUCUCUGAGCCUUGCCUAUCUCACAUUUUACCUUAAACAGUUUGUUAAGAAAUAUGAUCGGUCAAGGAAAAGUUCUUCCUUAAAAUCAUGCUUUUUCCCAUCUCAUUGUGUUUUUUUUUUGUUGUUGUUCAUCCCUUCAUUCAACAAAUAUUUACUUAAGUAUAUAAUGUGCUAGAUACUCUAUGCUGGGUGAUAGGAACACAAAAGUUAAUCCACGGGUCCUUACCCUGAAGCACUCGGUCUUGGUGGGGAAGCCACACCCUGUCCUAGGAAGGUAUUUUAUAGUACUUAGAGAACACAGUGGAGGGAAUGGCUGUAACAGAUCUGGGCGGUAGACUGCUACCUCUGUAGGUGUGGGGAGGGUUUUAGUCAGAUAUUUCAUUGCUGAAACCAAAGGAUUCGACACAAAACAAUAGAGGAGGAAAGGUUUAUUUGGGGACUUAUGGUUUCCAAGAUCUCAGUCUCUAGACAGCUGAUUCUAUUGCUCUUCCUGAAGUGAGACACAUAUCACAAUGGAAGAUUGUGAUGGAAGAAAGUGAGUCAGGACAUGGUCACCAGGAAGCAGAGAGAAAUUUCGCCUCUCACCAAGGACAAAAUAUAUAUACCCAAAAGAUGCCCCAAUGACCCACCUCCUCCAGCCACACACUACUUGUCUGUGGUUACCAUCCAAGUAAUCCCUACUAGGGGAUUAAAUUAGGUUAAAUCUCCC